RNAcentral lists this ribosomal RNA (301 nucleotides) under uncultured bacterium. RNAcentral's name for it is "partial 16S ribosomal RNA". It matches the Rfam family "Bacterial small subunit ribosomal RNA", at positions 509 to 809 of the family's 1533-position model. The record is from RNAcentral.
CAGCCGCCACGGUAAUACGAAGGGGGCUAGCGUUGUUCGGAUUUACUGGGCGUAAAGGGCGCGUAGGCGGGCGAUUAAGUCAGAGGUGAAAUCCCAAGGCUCAACCUUGGAACUGCCUUUGAUACUGGUUGUCUUGAGUCCGGGAGAGGUGAGUGGAACUGCGAGUGUAGAGGUGAAAUUCGUAGGUAUUCGCAAGAACACCAGUGGCGAAGGCGGCUCACUGGCCCGGAACUGACGCUGAGGCGCGAAAGCGUGGGGAGCAAACAGGAUUAGAUACCCCAGUAGUCCCUGUCUCUUAUAA